RNAcentral lists this small nucleolar RNA (129 nucleotides) under Xenopus laevis (African clawed frog). Its description in RNAcentral is "Small nucleolar RNA ACA64". It matches the Rfam family "Small nucleolar RNA ACA64". The record is from Rfam by way of RNAcentral. Lineage: Eukaryota; Metazoa; Chordata; Amphibia; Anura; Pipidae.
ACAGACUGAAAAUUACCGCUGGCCUUCUGGUAGCCUUUGGUGAGAUACCUGUGCCUAAAUGAUAGUGGAGCAUUAUGCUUAUUACCCAUAAUCCCAUGUGUGCGUAAUGAGACCCGUGUUCCUACAUUG